AAUCAACGCUGGCGGCGCGCUUAACACAUGCAAGUCGAACGAGAAAGCGCCCUUCGGGGUGUGAGUAUAGUGGCGCACGGGUGAGUAACACGUGGGUGAUCUGCCCUUCGGUGGGGAAUAACUCCGCGAAAGUGGAGCUAAUACCGCAUACGAUCUUCGGAUGAAAGGCUUCGGCCGCCGAAGGAGGAGCCCGCGGCCGAUUAGCUUGUUGGUGGGGUAAUGGCUCACCAAGGCUACAAUCGGUAGCCGGCCUGAGAGGGCACACGGCCACACUGGCACUGAGACACGGGCCAGACUCCUACGGGAGGCAGCAGUGAGGAAUCUUGCACAAUGGGGGAAACCCUGAUGCAGCGACGCCGCGUGAGCGAUGAAGCCUCUCGGGGUGUAAAGCUCUUUCAGUGGGAACGAUAAUGACGGUACCCACAGAAGAAGGUGCGGCUAACUACGUG
This 449-nucleotide ribosomal RNA is filed under the name uncultured bacterium. RNAcentral describes it as "bacterial SSU rRNA". It matches the Rfam family "Bacterial small subunit ribosomal RNA", at positions 32 to 507 of the family's 1533-position model. The record is from RNAcentral.